GAUGAACGCUGGCGGCGUGCUUAACACAUGCAAGUCGAACGAGAAGGGGAGACGGUUACCGUGGGGCGGAAGACUUUACUUCGAGGGGCGGCCGGGGUAGUAACGCCUGGGUAUCCUGCCACAUACAGGGGGAUAAGAGUUGUAAACGACUGGUAAUACUGCAUCAGACCACAGCAUCGCAUGGUUCGGGGGUAAAAGCUCCGGUGGCAUGAGAUGGACCCGCGGUCGGUUAGCCAGUUGGCGGGGUAACGGCCCACCAAAGCGACGAUCGAUAGCCGAUAUGAGAGGAUGACCGGCCACAUUGGGGCUGAGACACGGCCCAAACUCGUACGGAAGGGAGCAGAGGGGAAUAGAGCAGACGGGGGGAAGCCCUGAUGCAGCGACGCCGCGUGAGUGAGGAAGUAUGUCGGUAUGUAAAGCUCUAUCAGCAGGGAAGAGAAUGACGGUAACUGAGUAAGAAGCCCCGGCUAACUACGUG
RNAcentral lists this ribosomal RNA (478 nucleotides) under uncultured bacterium. RNAcentral describes it as "partial 16S ribosomal RNA". It matches the Rfam family "Bacterial small subunit ribosomal RNA", at positions 28 to 507 of the family's 1533-position model. The record is from RNAcentral.